This is a non-coding RNA of Vicia faba (fava bean), 189 nucleotides long. NCBI's taxonomy places the organism in Eukaryota, Viridiplantae, Streptophyta, Magnoliopsida, Fabales, Fabaceae. The record is from the annotation of a GenBank genome assembly.
AUUCUCCUAACCUACAUUUAUCUAACACUUGCUUUUCUAUUAAUCAAUUUCAUUCUAUCAAACAGCACGGUCUACUUCUCUUUUCAUCUUCCCCGUCUAUUUUCUCCGCCAUUAUUCGAAUUCAAAAUACUUCUUCGAUUAUGUUUUUUUCUUUACUUAAUAUUUGAAAUCAUUUUGAUGAUUACGUAA